AAUGUCUAAUGAUUAUUAAAGAGGUGACAGAACGCACAACCGAUUUUACCUUGUUAUAGUUGAAAAACAACAGUUUGGAGGGUAAGUAGGACAUACAUAGAACUUAAAAAUCUCAUUGACACCUCUGUCAUCUGCAAAUCUCACAAUUUGAAACUGCCUCUGAAAACGGGCAGAUCUCAACAAAGCUCAUAGUUGACGUCAAAUAUGUGGCUCCUCCUUAUUUGGCUCUGGUCACUAGUCUUGGUCAUGGCCCCAACGUUUAUAUAGGCUACACCACUGACCUGAGAUCAGCUAGUCUUCUGAAUCUAGGUCACGCAGAUCUCACAAAUUUUAUACAUGGUUCGUCUGCUAUUUCAUUACUAAGUUCACUUCUGAGACGUUUAGAUGCGAGAAAUCACAUCUGAAAUUCACAAAAAUUAAUUAAAUUGAAAUUCAACAAAACUGUUAGCUAAGCUUUGUAAGACCUUAGGGUAGCUGUGAUAUAAGUGCCGUGACGAAAUUCCAACUGUAAAUAUACUAUAGUUAUUCCAGCAGCCGUCAUGCUUCGCACAGCCCCGAGCCCCGGUGGUCCAGUAACCCAGAAAUGGUGACUUUGUCCAGGGUAUGGAGCACAGUGGGCUGUCGCUGUCUCGUCAGAUUGUGUGGCGCUCCUGAAGUCGGACACGUCUUACCAAAUUUGCAAUUAGCAAUCAAUUUUUGUAAAAUGUCCCAUAUUUGAGCUUUAUGUAGUUGAUUUCUGGCAUA
Molecule: long non-coding RNA, 744 nt
Organism: Etheostoma spectabile (orangethroat darter)
Lineage: Eukaryota; Metazoa; Chordata; Actinopteri; Perciformes; Percidae
Exons: 2
Source: RefSeq, a predicted model, not a curated record